UACGUAGGUGGCGAGCGUUGUCCGGAAUUACUGGGUGUAAAGGGCGUGUAGGCGGGGAUAUAAGUCAGAUGUGAAAUUCCAAGGCUCAACCUUGGCGCUGCAUCUGAAACUAUAACUCUUGAGUGCUGGAGAGGAAAGCGGAAUUCCUAGUGUAGCGGUGAAAUGCGUAGAUAUUAGGAGGAACACCAGUGGCGAAGGCGGCUUUCUGGACAGUAACUGACGCUGAGGCGCGAAAGCGUGGGGAGCGAACAGG
Molecule: unclassified non-coding RNA, 253 nt
Filed under: uncultured Eubacteriales bacterium
Lineage: Bacteria; Bacillati; Bacillota; Clostridia; Eubacteriales
Description: contains 16S-23S intergenic spacer region
Rfam family: Bacterial small subunit ribosomal RNA
Source: RNAcentral